GGCAAAAGUACAGAAACUAGAGGAGAGUUUGUGUGCUACUGAAAAAGUCAUCAGUUCUCUGGAGAAGUCUAGAGAUGCUAGCAAGGAACUGGUAACUGACCUCACGAGCCAGAUCCAGGAGCUGAGAACAUCAAUCUGUGAGAAAACAGAAACCAUAGACACCCUGAGGCAAGAACUGAAGGACAUAAAUUGCAAAUACAACUCUGCUUUGGCUGACAAAGAAGAGAGCAAAGGGUUGAUUGAGAGACAGGAAACGGAGAUUCUGGAUCUGAGAGAAACCCUUAGACUGAGAAUAAUCUCUGAAGACAUAGAGGUAACUGUUAACACAACGUGACUGUUUUUGCUUUAUUACUUGUCAAUAUGCAUGUGUGUGCGUGUGUAAGUUCUUAGUGAAUAGAGGAUUUUUUAAAGGAAUAAGUUAUUAUUAGGGCUGUUUUCCCCAGGGUAACCGGUUAGACAGUUAACAGAUAACAGUAACAUUGUUGUAUGUUUUCAUUCAUUUGCGCUUACACCCUGGUGAGUUCCUGUCACUGACCUUCCAGAAGGGUCGCAGAGCAGAAACUGCGUUUCUUUGGGUGUAGCAGCAGGGAGCACAGAGCGGGCCGGUUCACAGGUUAA
Hipposideros armiger (great roundleaf bat) is the source of this 618-nucleotide long non-coding RNA. RefSeq lists it as uncharacterized. NCBI's taxonomy places the organism in Eukaryota, Metazoa, Chordata, Mammalia, Chiroptera, Hipposideridae. The transcript has 3 exons. The record is from RefSeq and is a predicted model, not a curated record.